GAUGAACGCUAGCUACAGGCUUAACACAUGCAAGUCGCAGGGUAACAUGAGGAAAGCUUGCUUUCCUUGAUGACGACUGGCGCACGGGUGAGUAACGCGUAUCCAACCUUCCCAUAACUACGGGAUAACCCGUUGAAAGACGGCCUAAUACCGUAUGAUAUCGUUUGCUGACAUCAAAUAACGAUUAAAGGUUUAGCGGUUAUGGAUGGGGAUGCGUCUGAUUAGCUUGUUGGCGGGGUAACGGCCCACCAAGGCGACGAUCAGUAGGGGUUCUGAGAGGAAGGUCCCCCACAUUGGAACUGAGACACGGUCCAAACUCCUACGGGAGGCAGCAGUGAGGAAUAUUGGUCAAUGGGCGAGAGCCUGAACCAGCCAAGUAGCGUGCAGGAUGACGGCCCUAUGGGUUGUAAACUGCUUUUAUGUGGGGAUAAAGUGCGUGACGUGUCAUGCAUUGCAGGUACCACAUGAAUAAGAACCGGCUAAUUCCGUG
This 490-nucleotide ribosomal RNA is filed under the name uncultured bacterium. Its description in RNAcentral is "partial 16S ribosomal RNA". It matches the Rfam family "Bacterial small subunit ribosomal RNA", at positions 28 to 507 of the family's 1533-position model. The record is from RNAcentral.